AAAAGUAGUGGUAUUUCA
This 18-nucleotide unclassified non-coding RNA is filed under the name Chlamydomonas reinhardtii. Its description in RNAcentral is "small RNA Cre_0011". Lineage: Eukaryota; Viridiplantae; Chlorophyta; Chlorophyceae; Chlamydomonadales; Chlamydomonadaceae. The record is from RNAcentral.